AAGACAAAUGGUUAACAUACUGGUGGCUCAUAUGAUUGAUAUGCAUGGGUGUUUUUAUUUACUUAUUUUAUAAUUUUGUUUAUACAAAUAACUACAUGGCCAUUGUCUAAAUAAAUGAUAACAAAUUUGAUAUCUUUCCUUAGGCAUCUCCCUACUAAACCUAUCAGAGAACAGUAUGCUCAUGGCAUAGUGGUGCUGUUCCCUUCCCUGAGAGAUCCAUAUUCCAAGAAAGGCUAUGAACAUUUUUAUGAUGCUGUAAGCAACACAGGAUACAUUGCUUGGCAUAUGAAAACUGUCCACAGGAGGAUUCGACGAGGAUCUUUGCCACUAGACAGCCCUCAUGAUGUUUCUCCAGGAGGCCCAAAAUGCCAAAAGGCUACUAAUUUUGAAGGGCAACUUGAUGGGGAUGCUUGAAGAGAAGCUAUGUCUUUGCUCAACCAUACCACAGACAAGUUCCUAAUAUUCCAAAAGAUGAGAGACCUUUCAGCAUCACAAGAAGCUUGUUAAAGAUCCAGGCUCUAGUGCUGAUAUCCUCUCCACCUUCCCAAGAUUCCUAGAUACAAAAGGGCUGGUCAUUUUGGAAUAAAAUGUUUUAAAAGGCAUGCAAUUUUAGAAUAUUUUUUCAGUUUAAUAUCUUCUUUCUUAAAGGUGGAUCAAGGCUUCACUCUCCUGUUUGAUGCUGAGACAUCAUCCAGGCUGCUUCAGAGGUGGGGCACGUUCUUCAGGCUAAAUGUCAUUAAAGAGGCCAAGCAAGUUACUUCAACACCAGAGCUGAGUCAGUUGUUGCUAUCAGCAGAACGUCCUGAAGGAAGUUAUCUCCAUGAAACAAUCUACGACCAGAAAAUGGCAUCUCUUCUUUUAUUGAUGCAUCUCCUUCCACUACCACCAGGAGGAAAGAAGUCUCCAAAAAUCAUGUGCAUGUGAUGCUGCUGAAAGACAUCAUGCUGCAGUUUGGAGGAGCACCUCAACAGCAACCAGCAUCAGCAUCCGUACCUCCUUGCUGUUGGACGCCAGAAAAGCAAGAUCCACAGCUUCUACAUCGCCCUGGAUAAGCAUCUCAUCCCAUGCCAGGCAAACCGCUCCCUUGGAGCAUUUGAUGAACUUUUCAAGGCACAUUUUGUGUUUAAUUUGUCCUAUGAUUGUGCGCUUGUAAACUUUUACACAUUCCUGCAAACGACCGUGUACAACAUUGAUGUAGGGAAAAUGAAGGAGUCUCCCAGGGUUAGAGAUUUGAGAGCCAGACUGCUUAACCAGACAGUAAGCUUAACUUAGUCGGGCAGUAUGAUAUUGAGAGAAUGCUGAUCUGUUUUAUUUGUCAAAAACAGAGCCCAGUCAGUCAACAGUUGAUUUUGCAUUUAAGAGGUGAACAUAGUUACUACCCUGGAUCUAAGUUCAAAUUAAUUUGUUCUCAGCAAGGUUGUAGGCAUCAGUUCCAAACGUAUGCAGGUUUUCGUAAGCACCUUAAUAGUGUUCAUUGCAAUGUUCAGCUGAUUGCUCAAAGUUCAACUGUUGGAUGUUCUUCAAGUGAGCCAGUUGCAAGCUCAUCUCAUGUAGAUGCUUUGGAGGACCUUAUGGAUCCCCAGCAUCAGUCUCCUUGUUCCAGUGCUAUCAGAGAACAAUGAUUUAGGGCUUACUAAAAAUUCAACUAAAGAAUUGUGUGAAUCCAUAAUGGCCAAAAUACAAGUAAGUGGGAUUCCAAACAGUUUAGUGUCCUCAAUUGUGGGAGAUUUAGAGGCGCUAACAGAUGAGCUUCACUCACAAACAAAGCAUAACAUACUCUCUGCUUUGCCUACAAAUGACCCCUGCAAACCUAUAAUAAAUGAAUUGUUUGAAAAAUGAGAACCCAUUCACAAAUCUGAAUACCAAAUGGAAAAAUGGGGAGUUGUAGAGCCCGUUGAGAUAAAACUAGGUGUGUGGUAUGACAACAGGUUGAAUCAGAAAUCUGGCACUUAUGACCAAGUACCAGUGAAUGAUACUUUUUAUAUGUGCCAAUUUUAGAAAUAUUGAAAUUCAUGUGCAGUAAUCCAGAAAUUUGUCAUCUCCUAAGGAAAGAUUAUAGAUGAGAGUCUGAACUUUUUACAGAGUUUAGAGAUGGAAGUCCAAAUCCAAAUAUACUAUGAUUAUUUUGAAACAGCAAACCCCCUUGGCUCCAAACGUUGUAUCCACAAAAUUGGCUGUCUUUAUUUUAUUGUAAGAAACUUGCCCCCAAAAUUUAAUUCGGUUCUUAUGAACAUUCAUUUGUUAGUACUUUUUCACGCAAAAGAUUUAAGCAAGUACAGUUUUGAUGUUAUACUGGAACUGUUGAUAAAGUAUAUUAAGAUACUAGAAAGCCAGGGAUUAAGUCUGUCAUUCUCAGAUGAGCAGAUAUAUGGCACCAUCACACAAAUCACUGGUGAUAAUCUAGGGAUGCACUCGAUUCUUGAUUUUAAUGAGUCAUUUACAGUUUUUCUCAAUCGAUUUGGUACAUUUAUGGUACAUUUUGGUACACAGAAAUAAAUGAAAAUACAUGUUUUACAGGUGUACAACAAAAAGUUGUCACCCCACACACACAAAUAUAUAUAUAUAUAUAUAUAUAUAU
This is a long non-coding RNA of Tachysurus fulvidraco (yellow catfish), 2578 nucleotides long. RefSeq lists it as uncharacterized. The record is from RefSeq and is a predicted model, not a curated record. NCBI's taxonomy places the organism in Eukaryota, Metazoa, Chordata, Actinopteri, Siluriformes, Bagridae. The transcript has 4 exons.